RNAcentral lists this long non-coding RNA (771 nucleotides) under Drosophila melanogaster (fruit fly). RNAcentral's name for it is "antisense RNA:CR45621 (Dmel_CR45621)". The record is from RNAcentral. Lineage: Eukaryota; Metazoa; Arthropoda; Insecta; Diptera; Drosophilidae.
GUCAGUCGCACGAGUUACGAGCUCUAAAACGCACCAAAGUGGUAUGUAAAAAGGUAAAAGGACCAGAAAUCAACGAAACACCGUCGGCGAGUUGGCAACUCUGUUCGAUGUCCGUAAGGAUUUAAAAUCACCCAUUUUGAAUAUUUAGUGAUUAUCUAUGGACGUGUCCCAUUAACCAGUACAAAAACGUGCAAAUAAAAAGCAGAGAAGUCAAGGCUGAAAUUAUGGAGAAACUGAAAUUUGAAACAAAAAACAUUUGAGAGAUUACAAUGGACAAUAUGAUACUCCUCUUACAUACAAACUAGCCAGGGAGUACGAAUUUAGAUUCAUUAUAUAGAAAGGAAUUAAUUACCCAAACCAAAAGAAGAUAAUGAUAUUAUUUAAAGUUCUCGAAAUGAAUGUAAAUUAAAUAUUAACUGCAAUUAUAUUGAUAUACAUAUGUAUAUGUACAUAUACCCGUCUGAUAGACGCAUAAAGGGUAUCAAAAACCCAAACAGAUUGAUCAAAACAAAUAUCAAAUUGGAACCUAAACAAAUCUAAUCAGCAACUGAGCGAUUAGCAACCUCGCCACAAUUCUCUGAUUGGAAGAAACAAGAGCUCAACGCACGAGAGAGCAAAGCCAAGAGAACCAUAAGAAAACAGGUUGAAGCCAUUGAUAUACCUUGCCCUUGGUGCCGGCCACAUGGAUGAAGGACAGUUGCUCUACAGUUUCCAGCGGCAGACCACUCCGCUCCAGAUAUUUAAUGGUAUCCGCUUUGGUAUCCACACGGG